UCGAAGCAACGCGAAGAACCUUACCAGGUCUUGACAUCCUCUGACAACUCUAGAGAUAGAGCGUUCCCCUUCGGGGGACAGAGUGACAGGUGGUGCAUGGUUGUCGUCAGCUCGUGUCGUGAGAUGUUGGGUUAAGUCCCGCAACGAGCGCAACCCUUGAUCUUAGUUGCCAGCAUUUAGUUGGGCACUCUAAGGUGACUGCCGGUGACAAACCGGAGGAAGGUGGGGAUGACGUCAAAUCAUCAUGCCCCUUAUGACCUGGGCUACACACGUGCUACAAUGGAUGGUACAAAGGGCUGCAAGACCGCGAGGUCAAGCCAAUCCCAUAAAACCAUUCUCAGUUCGGAUUGUAGGCUGCAACUCGCCUACAUGAAGCUGGAAUCGCUAGUAAUCGCGGAUCAGCAUGCCGCGGUGAAUACGUUCCCGGGCCUUGUACACACCGCCCGUCACACCACGAGAGUUUGUAACACCCGAAGUCGGUGGAGUAACCGUAAGGAGCUAGCCGCCUAAGGUGGGACAGAUGAUUG
RNAcentral lists this ribosomal RNA (527 nucleotides) under Priestia megaterium. RNAcentral's name for it is "bacterial SSU rRNA". It matches the Rfam family "Bacterial small subunit ribosomal RNA", at positions 951 to 1477 of the family's 1533-position model. Lineage: Bacteria; Bacillati; Bacillota; Bacilli; Caryophanales; Bacillaceae. The record is from RNAcentral.